Molecule: long non-coding RNA, 550 nt
Organism: Priapulus caudatus
Lineage: Eukaryota; Metazoa; Priapulida; Priapulimorpha; Priapulimorphida; Priapulidae
Exons: 3
Source: RefSeq, a predicted model, not a curated record
ACACACCACACACAGAUAUAUGCUUACCGACAUUCAGAAGACUUGAUUUCGUAUGAAGGCAACAUCGCAUGUGGGUGGAUCUCCGUGUAAAAUGAUGAUUUAUUUUGCUUAGUCAUACUACAGAUAUUACUGGAAGACCCGUUCUGCUUGGUAAUAAUAUACGAUACAAAAUGUCUGCUGUUACCGAAUAGCUGUCAUAGUAACUUUCUACGAUGGACCCCACCAGUUUUAUCAACGGAACAGACAUAAAUGAGGAGAAUCAACAGCUUCAGCGGGUGAGCAAGCUGAUUAUAGCCAGCAUCGUGCUGCUAAACCUUCUCUCUCUCGGCUGCGCGCUCACAUGGCAGGAGGUGAGGCAGCAGCUACGGCACCCCUACGCACUUAUCGCAGGGAUGCUCUGUCAAUUCGUUCUUCUUCCGCUGUGCAUGUUUGCUCUGGCCUGCGCAUUGCGGCUGCAAGAUUCCAGAGCGAUGGGUAUGUUAGUGAUGGCCACCUCACCAGGUGGCGCUCUUUCAAAUGUGUUCACGCACUCGAGCGAUGGAGAUGUCCA